RNAcentral lists this ribosomal RNA (674 nucleotides) under Prevotella sp. RM15. RNAcentral's name for it is "bacterial SSU rRNA". It matches the Rfam family "Bacterial small subunit ribosomal RNA", at positions 64 to 725 of the family's 1533-position model. Lineage: Bacteria; Pseudomonadati; Bacteroidota; Bacteroidia; Bacteroidales; Prevotellaceae. The record is from RNAcentral.
GAGGGGACACGAUAUAGAAAGCUUGCUUUUUUUAGGCGUCGACCGGCGAAUGGGUGAGUAACGCGUAUCCAACCUGCCCCUGAGUAAGGGAUAGCCCAUCGAAAGAUGGAUUAAUACCUUAUGGUCUCCUUUGCAGACAUCUAAUUAGGAGUAAAGAUUUAUCGCUGAGGGAUGGGGAUGCGUCUGAUUAGCUUGUUGGCGGGGUAACGGCCCACCAAGGCAACGAUCAGUAGGGGUUCUGAGAGGAAGGUCCCCCACAUUGGUACUGAGACACGGACCAAACUCCUACGGGAGGCAGCAGUGAGGAAUAUUGGUCAAUGGACGGAAGUCUGAACCAGCCAAGUAGCGUGCAGGAUGACUGCCCUAUGGGUUGUAAACUGCUUUUAUACGGGGAUAAAGUCAGGGUCGUGACCCUGUUUGCAGGUACCGUAUGAAUAAGGACCGGCUAAUUCCGUGCCAGCAGCCGCGGUAAUACGGAAGGUCCAGGCGUUAUCCGGAUUUAUUGGGUUUAAAGGGAGCGUAGGCCGGAGAUUAAGUGUGUUGUGAAAUGUAGAUGCUCAACAUCUGCACUGCAGCGCAUACUGGUUUCCUUGAGUGCACGCAACGUUGGCGGAAUUCGUCGUGUAGCGGUGAAAUGCUUAGAUAUGACGAAGAACUCCGAUUGCGAAGGCAGC